CUCUCAACAGCGCCUCACUCUCGACACAGACCCAUAACCAAAACUCACAACUAUCAGUGCUUCCUCACUUCAACCAUAUUUCUUUGUUCUACGUGGUGUUGAAAUCCAUCAGAUCUAAAACCUAGACCUCUCUCCUCUCUCCUCUCCCCGACAACCAAACCAGUUUCUGUCUCAUAGGAUUGAUGGUGAAUUCAUCCCAUCACUCUCACUUCAAAACAGACCGGAGAGAGCCCUAGAUUGGAAACCCUCUCUUCUCCGAUUCUUCGAGUCCUCUUUCUCUUACAUAAUCCAAGGCGGCCUCUUUAUAUAUGAGCAGAAGAACCCGAAGCUCAAGCUCCUUCGACCCCAUGAACGGGUCAAGAAGAUUGAGUUGGUGCCUAGCAUAGAUGACGAAGAACCCCAUCGCAAUUGAUUCUCUCCCGAAAGGAUUUCAUAAGAGAAGGACCUUCCCCAAAUGGGUCUCUCAGAUGUGCCCCAGAAAUGGUUUAAGCUCAAAUCCUCAAAUAGGCAUCUACUAAGUGCUCUGUCUUUUCAUGGCGGUCUGUUUGUUCAUUCUUCUCUUGUUAUAUGUUUUUGUUGUUCCAUUUGCUCAGUUUUUGUGAAAUUUGCUUGACUAAUUAGUUUCAUUAAUUAUUUGAUUGGUUGCUUAGAAAAUUGGAUAGAUAUUUCAAUUCAUUUCAUUUCAUAGUUAAGAGUUAUCCCUCUGAAAGCAAGAAGUGUUCUUUAAUUAUCGAACAUUGUCCAUUUUCUAAUUCUAGAUAAGAAAAUAAAUCACUGAGUGUCUAUCCAUACAAUUUUUCAAUCAGUGAAUGUACAAUAACUAUCUUUGGAAGCUUGAGGUGUUUGGAUAUUCAAAGUUUCAAACUACUUUUUUUUACAUUGGUGCUCAAUUUGGUUGUAUGAAAGCUACAAUUAAUCACUGCUCAAUGUUAAAUGGGUAUUUGGGUUUUUCAGCUGGGUACUUGUGCGAAUGUGAUUACACUGUUUUUAUGGUGUCAAAACCCAUAUUGAACAAGGUCAAGGAUCUGCAAAAGGAUCUGCCUACCUCGUGCAGUGCUGGUAUAGGCUUCUUUUACCCAUCUCUUUCAUGCUUUUAUAUCAAGUUUUACUAUGAAAAAUCCUGAUUUUUGUUUCAGAGAAUAUAUAAAAUGACUAGUUAAUUUUAAGGAAAAUUACUUUUGGUUAAUCAAGUUUACGUUACAAGACAUUUAUCUGGUAAAUGAAUUUGCUGCUUUCAACUGAAGUAUGCGAGGGUGGCUUUAGUGAAGUGGCUAUUGUCCUUUCUUGUAACUUACCAUUAAGUGAAUGGAUACAAGUACAUUGCAUCUGCAUACUAUUUCAGUUUUUCUUGCUCUGGAUGUAAUUAUUUAUGACUCCAAUCUGGAAGGUAGUUUCCUGAGCAUGCAAUCAAGGGACUGUUAAAGAUGAACCAGCAACCUUGCAGUCCAUCAUGGUGAAGCUUAUUCUUAUUAGAAGGACAGGAGACAUAUUGCUAUGGUAUGGUUUUUCUUGCACUUCUACUGUUGUUUAUUUCCAAAUGUAUUACUUGUACCAUGAAGAUGGGAUUGACUAACCAAGAUUGAUUUUAUCGUUGAUUUCACUCACAAGCUUUGUGCCUCUUUGGUGCUUCCUCCUUUGAGGUUCUUAUUCCAUUUCAAUCAUUCUCAUGCAUUUUUCCUGACAAGUUUCACUGGUUCAUUCAUUGAUCGAUUUCUUUCCCUUUCUUAUAGUAAUGGCAUCGGCAGAAAUUAGUGCAUGAACAAAACCAUUUAAGGCCAAUAAAUAUGAAUCAUAUUGAUGACAUGAGGUCGAGCAUUUUCAAUGCCAAGGCUGGAAUUGCUUUGAAUGACAACUUUGUGAAGCUUGUCUCUUGGUAUGAUAACAAAUGGCCUUGUAGUGAAUAUCUACCUAUGCUGAUAUUCUAUUUUUGGAAUUCAUAAGGCUUUGGUUUUAAGUAUGGUGAAUAUGUAUUAUAAAUAAGUUGCUGAUGUCAACAGAAGGUUGCAAAGAGAUGCCUCUUAGUCAAGAAAUGGGAUUCUAAGCCUUACUUUGCAGAUUACUAUUGAUUUCAAGCAGCAAAAAUGGAAGGAAGAUGAGAGUUAGAUAAAAGAGACUUGGUUUUGAUGCAUGGAAUGAACAAAUGACUAUAGUGUUUUUAUGUAUGAAUAUUAGGGAAAUACUCCCUUUUUGAUAUCAAUGUACUGAAUACAUUUUAUAUAUGGUCAGAUUUCAGUUAAUUUGAUUGUUUAGAACUUCUGUAACAAUUAGAAAACAAGAAUAAAUGAAAAGUAUUGUCCAA
This is a long non-coding RNA of Rosa chinensis, 2299 nucleotides long. RefSeq lists it as uncharacterized. The transcript has 5 exons. NCBI's taxonomy places the organism in Eukaryota, Viridiplantae, Streptophyta, Magnoliopsida, Rosales, Rosaceae. The record is from RefSeq and is a predicted model, not a curated record.